Molecule: ribosomal RNA, 253 nt
Filed under: uncultured bacterium
Lineage: Bacteria
Description: partial 16S ribosomal RNA
Rfam family: Bacterial small subunit ribosomal RNA
Source: RNAcentral
UACGUAGGGUGCAAGCGUUGUCCGGAAUUAUUGGGCGUAAAGAGCUCGUAGGCGGCUUGUCACGUCGGAUGUGAAAAUCCAGGGCUCAACCCUGGACCUGCAUUCGAUACGGGCAGGCUAGAAUUCGGUAGGGGGGACUGGAAUUCCUGGUGUAGCGGUGAAAUGCGCAGAUAUCAGGAGGAACACCGGUGGCGAAGGCGGGUCUCUGGGCCGAUACUGACGCUGAGGAGCGAAAGCGUGGGGAGCGAACAGG